UGGGGAAUUUUGGACAAUGGGGGAAACCCUGAUCCAGCCAUCCCGCGUGUGCGAUGAAGGCCUUCGGGUUGUAAAGCACUUUUGGCAGGAAAGAAACGUCAUGGGUUAAUACCCCGUGAAACUGACGGUACCUGCAGAAUAAGCACCGGCUAACUACGUGCCAGCAGCCGCGGUAAUACGUAGGGUGCAAGCGUUAAUCGGAAUUACUGGGCGUAAAGCGUGCGCAGGCGGUUCGGAAAGAAAGAUGUGAAAUCCCAGAGCUCAACUUUGGAACUGCAUUUUUAACUACCGGGCUAGAGUGUGUCAGAGGGAGGUGGAAUUCCGCGUGUAGCAGUGAAAUGCGUCGAUAUGCGGAUGAACACCGAUGGCGAAGGCAGCCUCCUGGGAUAACACUGACGCUCAUGCCCGAAAGCGUGGGGAGCAAACAGG
Molecule: ribosomal RNA, 429 nt
Filed under: Acidobacteriota bacterium
Lineage: Bacteria; Pseudomonadati; Acidobacteriota
Description: Acidobacteria bacterium partial 16S ribosomal RNA
Rfam family: Bacterial small subunit ribosomal RNA
Source: RNAcentral